Molecule: transfer RNA, 75 nt
Filed under: Patescibacteria group bacterium
Lineage: Bacteria
Also listed under: 1 other name
Description: tRNA-Glu
Rfam family: tRNA
About the family: Transfer RNA (tRNA) molecules are approximately 80 nucleotides in length. Their secondary structure includes four short double-helical elements and three loops (D, anti-codon, and T loops).
Source: RNAcentral
GCCGCUAUCGUCUAACGGUUAGGACUUCAGAUUCUCAAUCUGGCAAUCGGGGUUCGAUUCCCCGUAGCGGUACCA